This 454-nucleotide ribosomal RNA is filed under the name uncultured bacterium. RNAcentral describes it as "partial 16S ribosomal RNA". It matches the Rfam family "Bacterial small subunit ribosomal RNA", at positions 28 to 507 of the family's 1533-position model. The record is from RNAcentral.
GAUGAACGCUGACAGAAUGCUUAACACAUGCAAGUCAACUUGAACUUCGGUUUGGGUGGCGGACGGGUGAGUAACGCGUAAAGAACUUGCCUCACAGAUAGGGACAACAUUUGGAAACGAAUGCUAAUACCUGAUAUUAUGAUUUUAGGGCAUCCUAGGAUUAUGAAAGCUAUAUGCGCUGUGAGAGAGCUUUGCGUCCCAUUAGCUAGUUGGAGAGGUAACGGCUCACCAAGGCGAUGAUGGGUAGCCGGCCUGAGAGGGUGAUCGGCCACAAGGGGACUGGGACACGGCCCUUACUCCUACGGGAGGCAGCAGUGGGGAUUAUUGGACAAUGGACCAAGAGUCUGAUCCAGCAAUUCUGUGUGCACGAUGAAGUUUUUCGGAAUGUAAAGUGCUUUCAGUUGGGAAGAAAAAAAUGACGGUACCAACAGAAGAAGUGACGGCUAACUACGUG